This 253-nucleotide ribosomal RNA is filed under the name uncultured bacterium. RNAcentral describes it as "partial 16S ribosomal RNA". It matches the Rfam family "Bacterial small subunit ribosomal RNA", at positions 524 to 776 of the family's 1533-position model. The record is from RNAcentral.
UACAGAGGUCUCAAGCGUUGUUCGGAUUCAUUGGGCGUAAAGGGUGCGUAGGUGGCGCGCUAAGUCAGGUGUGAAAUUUCGGAGCUUAACUCCGAAACUGCAUUUGAUACUGGCGUGCUUGAGGACUGGAGAGGAGACUGGAAUUCACGGUGUAGCGGUGAAAUGCGUAGAUAUCGUAAGGAAGACCAGUGGCGAAGGCGGGUCUCUGGACAGUUCCUGACGCUGAGGCACGAAGGCCAGGGGAGCAAACGGG